Molecule: ribosomal RNA, 494 nt
Filed under: uncultured bacterium
Lineage: Bacteria
Description: partial 16S ribosomal RNA
Rfam family: Bacterial small subunit ribosomal RNA
Source: RNAcentral
GACGAACGCUGGCGGCGCGCUUAACACAUGCAAGUCGAACGGAAAGGCCUGCUUUCCCUUGUGGAUUGCGGGUACUCGAGUGGCGAACGGGUGAGUAACACGUGAGUGAUCUGCCCCCAACUUGGGUAUAAGCCUGGGAAACUGGGUCUAAUUCCCGAUAGGACUGCAGGGUGGUGCCUGUGGUGGAAAACGAUUUUCUAGUGGUUGGGGAUGAGCUCGCGGCCUAUCAGCUUGUUGGUGGGGUAAUGGCCUACCAAGGCGGCGACGGGUAGCCGGCCUGAGAGGGUGGACGGCCACAUUGGGACUGAGAUACGGCCCAGACUCCAACGGGAGGCAGCAGUGGGGAAUAUUGCACAAUGGGCGGAAGCCUGAUGCAGCGACGCCGCGUGGGGGAUGACGGCCUUCGGGUUGUAAACUCCUUUCGACCGCGAGGAAGCCACCUGGUUGGAAGGGUGGUGACGGUAGUGGUAGAAGAAGCACCGGCUAACUACGUG